This 107-nucleotide small nuclear RNA is filed under the name Delphinapterus leucas (beluga whale). The record is from RNAcentral. Lineage: Eukaryota; Metazoa; Chordata; Mammalia; Artiodactyla; Monodontidae.
GGGCUCGCUUCAGCAGCACAUAUACUAAAGUUGGAAUGAUACAGAGAAGAUUAGCAUGGCCCCUGAACAAGGAUGACAUGCAAAUUCGUAAAGCAUUCCAUAUUUUU